RNAcentral lists this ribosomal RNA (465 nucleotides) under uncultured bacterium. RNAcentral's name for it is "partial 16S ribosomal RNA". It matches the Rfam family "Bacterial small subunit ribosomal RNA", at positions 28 to 507 of the family's 1533-position model. The record is from RNAcentral.
GACGAACGCUGGCGGUGUGCUUAACACAUGCAAGUCGAACGGUAAGGCUCCAGCUUGCUGGGGUACACGAGUGGCGAACGGGUGAGUAACACGUGGGUGACCUGCCCUGCACUUCGGGAUAAGCCUGGGAAACUGGGUCUAAUACCGGAUAGGACCGCACCGUGAGGGUGUGGUGGAAAGUUUUUUCGGUGUGGGAUGGGCCCGCGGCCUAUCAGCUUGUUGGUGGGGUAAUGGCCUACCAAGGCGGCGACGGGUAGCCGGCCUGAGAGGGUGGACGGCCACAUUGGGACUGAGACACGGCCCAGACUCCUACGGGAGGCAGCAGUGGGGAAUAUUGCACAAUGGGCGGAAGCCUGAUGCAGCGACGCCGCGUGGGGGAUGACGGCCUUCGGGUUGUAAACUCCUUUCACCAUCGACGAAGGGUUUCUGACGGUAGAUGGAGAAGAAGCACCGGCUAACUACGUG